This 20-nucleotide microRNA is filed under the name Rattus norvegicus (Norway rat). Its description in RNAcentral is "rno-miR-6215". The record is from miRBase by way of RNAcentral. Lineage: Eukaryota; Metazoa; Chordata; Mammalia; Rodentia; Muridae.
UUUAGGGUUGCAGAGCCAGG